GACGAACGCUGGCGGCGUGCUUAACACAUGCAAGUCGAACGGACAGGCCCUGCUCUUGUGGGGUGCUCGUGUGCCGCACGGGGGAGUAACACAUGUGUAACAUCCCCUUAACUGUCGGAUAUAUUCUGGGAACUGGGGCGCAUAUCGGAUAUGAGCUACUGCUCCGUGUGGUUGGUUGGUAAGUUUCGGCGGUGGUGGCUGGUUUGGCGGCUUAUCAGCUGCUUGGUGGGGUAGUGGCGGUCCAAGGCUUUGACGGGUAGCCGGCCUGAGAGGGUUGCCGGCGACAUGGGUACUGAGAGACGGACCAGACGCCUACGGGAGGCAGCAGUGGAGAAUAUUGCGCAAUGGGGGGAAGCCUGAUGCAGCAACGCCGCGUGCGGGAUGACGGCCUUCGGGUGGUAAACCGCUUUCGACGGUGACGAAGCGUGAGUGACGGUAAUGGGUAAAGAAGCACCGGCUAACUACGUG
This 468-nucleotide ribosomal RNA is filed under the name uncultured bacterium. RNAcentral describes it as "partial 16S ribosomal RNA". It matches the Rfam family "Bacterial small subunit ribosomal RNA", at positions 28 to 507 of the family's 1533-position model. The record is from RNAcentral.